This 799-nucleotide non-coding RNA is filed under the name Pan troglodytes (chimpanzee). The record is from RNAcentral. Lineage: Eukaryota; Metazoa; Chordata; Mammalia; Primates; Hominidae.
UUGUGUCUUUAUAAGAACAGACACAAAAGUGUUCUCUCCCUUGCAUGCGUGCACUCUCUCUCUUCCCCUCCCUGCCCUUGCCUCCUUGCGUCUGCAUAAAGAAGAGGUUAUAUGGGCACAUUGUGAGAUGGUGGCCUCCCAUGAGCCAAGAAAAGAGGGCUUAAAAUGAAUCCUUCCUGGCUGGCACCUUGAUCUUGGACUUCCUAGCAUCCAGAAAUGUGACAUGGUUUUCUGGUGCCUUGGCAACUGCUCACGAUGCAUGGGAAGACUAAACACUUUGUGUACAGCAUUCUGUCUCAUCCAGUGAAGACUUCCUCUGGAUUAUUGCAGCAGACACCUCUAACCUCUUUAAUCUGUACUGAAUCUUGCUCUGUCGCCAGGCUGGAGUGCAGUGGUGCGAUAUUGGCUCACUGCAACCUCCGCCUCUCAGGUUCAAGCGAUUAUCCUGCCUCAGCCUUUUGAGUAGCUGGGACUACAGGCACAUGGUACCAUGCCAGACUAAUUUUUGUAUUUUUAGUAGAGACGGGAUUAUCACUAUGUUGGCCAAGAUGGUUUUGAUCUCUUGACUUCGUGAUCCGCCCUCCUCGGCCUCCCAAAGUGCUGGGAUUUCAGGCGUUAGCCACUGCGCCCAGCCUGGACUUGUCUAUUUCAUUUGGAGAACUUCAAUUGAUCUAAAUCUACUUUGCAGCUUUUCAUUGUUAAUUUUGAAUUUAUUUAAACAAGUAAAAUAUUUAAGACAUUUGUGUGGAAAACCUGUAACAAAUUGGAUUUGGUUCAAUCUCUGAUUAUGUUUUAGAUA